GUUGUGUCAUUGUGUCAUUGUGUGGCUGUGUCGUUGUCGUGUUGUUGUGUUGUGUCGUUGUGUCAUUGUGUGGUGCGGCUGUGUGGCUGUGUGGCUGUGUUGUUGUGUGGCUGUGUCGUUGUGUCAUUGUGUCGUUGUGUGGCUGUGUUGUUGUCGUGUUGUUGUGUCGUGUCAUUGUGUCGUUGUGUCGUUGUGUCAUUGUGUCGCUGUGUCAUUGUGUUGUGGUGCGGCUGUGUGGCUGUGUC
Molecule: long non-coding RNA, 245 nt
Filed under: Phasianus colchicus (ring-necked pheasant)
Lineage: Eukaryota; Metazoa; Chordata; Aves; Galliformes; Phasianidae
Description: lncRNA (ENSPCLG00000015917.1)
Source: RNAcentral